GUACGAGUGCUCGCGAGAGCCUUUCUACAAUAAGCGCAGAUUGAAAAACAAUUUAAGAAGCUUGCGACGAGAACUCGACUAGAUCGUGUGUGAGAGUAAUCCAAUCCCAAAGCGCAAACUGCAAGGAGCGUCACGGAAACACGAUGCCGCAAAAAUGUGACGGUCUUACAUAACGUUAUCUCUGUCUGUUAUCGACAACGUGAAAAUCUACUUGCUAACGAUGUGAGAGCACACGAGUGGAUUGAUUAUGAUGCCAGCACGUGGAAACACAAAUUACGAUACGUAAGCGAGUGCAUUAUCAUAUAUGCGUGGUAUUCUACGUGGAGUGAACUCGGAUUAAUAAAUUAACAUGAGAAAAUAGCGUAAAUGAAGAGACAUAAAUGAAUUUAUAAUGAGACAUACGUUAAUACUGUUAGCGUGGAUUAGCAUUUUUAUUACUAAUUUAAUAAAAUGUAAGGUAUUUGCUCGUCUUCGAGAGUUCGAUGUUUCAAUUCGAAUACAAAUGAUUAGCGUCUGAUAUGUAAGAGAAUUAUUUCAAAACUUCAUUAAAUAAUUUACCAUUUAAAGAAAUCACUGGCGAGAUUGGCGAGACAAAACGUCCGUAUUUCAAAUUAUUAUUAAUUUAACUUAUAAAAAGUUAAAUUUCUACUGGAGAGCAACUAACAUUGAUUAGCAGCAUUAAUGUAGUCCGCGAUGCAUUAAUAAUAAUUAAUUAAAAUGGAAUUUCGAUUUGCUGCCGAUUAUGCGUUUGACUAAUACAUUUUAAUGAGACGUUGCAAUAUUUAUUAAAGAAUUAAAUCAGGAAUUCGAUAACUGAAAAUAUAAAUGACUUGACAAAAUAUAUAUAAAAAAAUGUUCUAUUCUCUGAUCGUCCUUUGGACUUUGCGUUAUUUGCGAGGUCGGUAAUCAAGAUGUCGUCGGUGCAAGUGACUUUGAGUCAAUUGCUCCGAUCUCAGCUGACGUUUGACGUGCAAUAGCGUCUACGUGUCUCUCUAUUUACAGUUUGGCCAUCGUGGAUCAGGGAGAUGACAGUAUGUCGCCGUGCAAAGUGCGUCAAUAAUAAGGGCUGCGGUAUACAUAACCGACAAACAGUCAUCGAACGUACACUUUAUGCAAUCGAAUACCACAUUCGGUGUAUCGCGAAUGUAUAUCAUGUACUCGCACGCACGUCAACGCGUCAUGAUCGAUUCGCCCACGAAUAAAACACCCGAAAUCCUCUUGUGCACCAUCUAUCCCGCCUUAAAACUGACCGCUUCGCGGUACACAAGUGUCGGCGCACUGAUUAUUCGGCCCGACGACGACGAGUGGAGAAGGAAAAAAAAA
Ooceraea biroi (clonal raider ant) is the source of this 1323-nucleotide long non-coding RNA. RefSeq lists it as uncharacterized. Lineage: Eukaryota; Metazoa; Arthropoda; Insecta; Hymenoptera; Formicidae. The record is from RefSeq and is a predicted model, not a curated record.